This 301-nucleotide ribosomal RNA is filed under the name uncultured bacterium. RNAcentral's name for it is "partial 16S ribosomal RNA". It matches the Rfam family "Bacterial small subunit ribosomal RNA", at positions 509 to 808 of the family's 1533-position model. The record is from RNAcentral.
CAGUCGCCACGGUAAUACAGAGGGUGCGAGCGUUAAUCGGAUUUACUGGGCGUAAAGCGUGCGUAGGCGGCUUCUUAAGUCGGAUGUGAAAUCCCUGAGCUUAACUUAGGAAUUGCAUUCGAUACUGGGAAGCUAGAGUAUGGGAGAGGAUGGUAGAAUUCCAGGUGUAGCGGUGAAAUGCGUAGAGAUCUGGAGGAAUACCGAUGGCGAAGGCAGCCAUCUGGCCUAAUACUGACGCUGAGGUACGAAAGCAUGGGGAGCAAACAGGAUUAGAUACCGGGUAGUCCCUGUCUCUUAUACA